AAAGGGUUAACUCGGAGCAGAGGGCAAUUAGGUAAUUUCUGGCACCUGGGGAGCUCCCACGGGUGGUGUAAGCAAGGUGGGCUGAAGCCCAUAAAAGGGCUCCUAGGGAGCAGGGGAGGUUUGGCUGCAGGGGGAGAAGCUAGAAGUUCAGGGGCUGUGGCAGAGCCUGCUGGCCCAGGUCACUAGAAACUAUGAAGAGAAAAAAAGAAAAGGCAAAGAAGCGCGAGCCAUGCGUGUGCAUCCUCCUGCCUCCCUCUAGUGAGAAGAAAUCGCCGUUGCCCUCUGCCUCGGCAGCCCCAGCCUCGACGGGCUGCCAUUGUCCUGCAGCCCCCGGUCCCCGCGUUGAUGCGAUGGUGUCCCCAAGGAGGACUGCUCGGCCACAGCCGGGCCGGGGAUGGCUCGAGAUGCUCGCAUCUCUGCCAAGGCGGGUACAAAAUGCAGCUACGGAUGGAAGCAUCAGCACCCAAAGAGAAAUCCUGGAGGAAAACUGCAAACGGCAUCUCUGACCGCCUCCACGUCCCGGCAGGGACGCCCUCAGUGCGAAGCAGUGCCAGCACGCCCGGCUCACGGGCUGGGAUGCGAGGAGCGAGGGAUGCGCGGCGGGGUUCAUCUCCCCGUUUCUCUAUUUGCCCAGAAGAAGAAGAGCGGGGGGAGCUGAAGCGGCCGAGCAGCCCGCGCGGCUCCGCACGGUGAUGGAGCAGCUGCUUCGCUGCUGCUGGCUCGCUGGCAGGGUGCAUAGAUCGAUAGAUAAAACAGUUUUCACUAGCUCAUUUGCCAAGCUGCUGAGUUGGUGCCAUACCUGGGGCUGCCUGGGAAUGAGCCAGCCCCGGCCCUGGUGCUUCGCUGAGCUUGCGGAGGGGGAAAAAGGAGAGGCUGCAGGAUGCGGCCGGGCUGGGGCUCACCCUGUGCUUGUGAUGGGUCGCGUGGUGGAAGGGGCCCCGCCAGCCCCGGGGGAUGCUGCUGCGGAGUUCCCCAAGUAAUUCCAGCGGACCGUUUUUAAAAUUAUGUCUUUAAACAUAUUUAUACAGGCCACAUAUAUUUUACAUGCCUGCACAAUGCAUUUUAUGAAGCAUAUAAAAAAAGCAGAUAGAAAUUAUCUAUUUCUCCUGUACAG
This is a non-coding RNA of Phalacrocorax carbo (great cormorant), 1114 nucleotides long. Lineage: Eukaryota; Metazoa; Chordata; Aves; Suliformes; Phalacrocoracidae. The record is from RefSeq and is a predicted model, not a curated record.